Molecule: non-coding RNA, 371 nt
Organism: Pelobates cultripes (western spadefoot toad)
Lineage: Eukaryota; Metazoa; Chordata; Amphibia; Anura; Pelobatidae
Source: the annotation of a GenBank genome assembly
UAUUAUAUAUAUAUUUUGGGAAUUCAUUUUUUCUUCAUUGAAAGGGACACUAUAGUCACCCAGACCACUUCAGCUCAAUGAAGUGGUCUGGGUGCCAAGUCCCCCAGGUUUUAACCCUUCAGAUGUAAACUGCUAUGCUUACAUUGCAGGACUAAUCCAGCCUCUAGUGGCUGUCUUCCUGACAGCCAGCCGCUAGUGGCGCUUCUGCAAUGCUGGAUGCGAAAAUACUGGCUCGGAUCCGGCUCCGUUCCCCCCCUAUGGACCGGGGGGUGAUCCCGGUCCUUACACUGCAGACAUGACCUCGACUCUGCUAAUAAGGCCAAGGAGCCUAACCACUGCAUCCAAAACGGCGGCGCCAUGUGCGCGGACGG